CCUACGGGAGGCAGCAGUGGGGAAUAUUGCACAAUGGGCGCAAGCCUGAUGCAGCCAUGCCGCGUGUAUGAAGAAGGCCUUCGGGUUGUAAAGUACUUUCAGCGGGGAGGAAGGGAGUAAAGUUAAUACCUUUGCUCAUUGACGUUACCCGCAGAAGAAGCACCGGCUAACUCCGUGCCAGCAGCCGCGGUAAUACGGAGGGUGCAAGCGUUAAUCGGAAUUACUGGGCGUAAAGCGCACGCAGGCGGUUUGUUAAGUCAGAUGUGAAAUCCCCGGGCUCAACCUGGGAACUGCAUCUGAUACUGGCAAGCUUGAGUCUCGUAGAGGGGGGUAGAAUUCCAGGUGUAGCGGUGAAAUGCGUAGAGAUCUGGAGGAAUACCGGUGGCGAAGGCGGCCCCCUGGACGAAGACUGACGCUCAGGUGCGAAAGCGUGGGGAGCGAAACAGGAUUAGAUACCCUGGUAGUCCACGCCGUAAACGAUGUCGACUUGGAGGUUGUGCCCUUGGUGGNGUGUCGUCGGNGCGUACGCGUAGUCGACCGCCGNGGGAGGACGGCGCGUAGUAAACGUUACAAGUAGAGUUGACGCGNGAGAGNGCGACGGCGACGACGAGGGAGAGG
RNAcentral lists this ribosomal RNA (618 nucleotides) under uncultured bacterium. Its description in RNAcentral is "bacterial SSU rRNA". The stretch from base 1 to 542 matches the Rfam family "Bacterial small subunit ribosomal RNA", at positions 338 to 873 of the family's 1533-position model. The record is from RNAcentral.